This 465-nucleotide ribosomal RNA is filed under the name Vreelandella stevensii. RNAcentral describes it as "partial 16S ribosomal RNA". It matches the Rfam family "Bacterial small subunit ribosomal RNA", at positions 338 to 795 of the family's 1533-position model. Lineage: Bacteria; Pseudomonadati; Pseudomonadota; Gammaproteobacteria; Oceanospirillales; Halomonadaceae. The record is from RNAcentral.
CCUACGGGGGGCAGCAGUGGGGAAUAUUGGACAAUGGGGGCAACCCUGAUCCAGCCAUGCCGCGUGUGUGAAGAAGGCCCUCGGGUUGUAAAGCACUUUCAGUGAGGAAGAACGCCUGGUGGUUAAUACCCAUCAGGAAGGACAUCACUCACAGAAGAAGCACCGGCUAACUCCGUGCCAGCAGCCGCGGUAAUACGGAGGGUGCGAGCGUUAAUCGGAAUUACUGGGCGUAAAGCGCGCGUAGGUGGCUUGAUAAGCCGGUUGUGAAAGCCCCGGGCUCAACCUGGGAACGGCAUCCGGAACUGUCAAGCUAGAGUGCAGGAGAGGAAGGUAGAAUUCCCGGUGUAGCGGUGAAAUGCGUAGAGAUCGGGAGGAAUACCAGUGGCGAAGGCGGCCUUCUGGACUGACACUGACACUGAGGUGCGAAAGCGUGGGUAGCAAACAGGAUUAGAUACCCUAGUAGUC